This 124-nucleotide ribosomal RNA is filed under the name Erythranthe guttata (spotted monkey flower). Lineage: Eukaryota; Viridiplantae; Streptophyta; Magnoliopsida; Lamiales; Phrymaceae. The record is from RNAcentral.
GGGUGCGAUCAUACCAGACACUAACUGUCACCGAGAUCCCAUCAGAACUCCGAAGUUGAGCGUGCUUGGGCGAGAGUAGUACUAGGAUGGGUGACCACCCUGGGAAGUCCUCGUGUUGCACCCC